GACUUCGGCGGACAGCGGCCGGUCCUCGGCGCUUGGGUCGUCGAGGACGAGGCCGCCGGGCUCGGCAUCCGCGAGACCUCC
Molecule: transfer RNA, 81 nt
Filed under: Acrocarpospora phusangensis
Lineage: Bacteria; Bacillati; Actinomycetota; Actinomycetes; Streptosporangiales; Streptosporangiaceae
Description: tRNA-Pro
Source: RNAcentral